GACGAACGCUGGCGGCGUGCCUAAUACAUGCAAGUAGAACGCUGAAGAGAGGAGCUUGCUCUUCUUGGAUGAGUUGCGAACGGGUGAGUAACGCGUAGGUAACCUGCCUUGUAGCGGGGGAUAACUAUUGGAAACGAUAGCUAAUACCGCAUAACAAUGGAUGACACAUGUCAUUUAUUUGAAAGGGGCAAUUGCUCCACUACAAGAUGGACCUGCGUUGUAUUAGCUAGUAGGUGAGGUAAUGGCUCACCUAGGCGACGAUACAUAGCCGACCUGAGAGGGUGAUCGGCCACACUGAGACUGAGACACGGCCCAGACUCCUACGGGAGGCAGCAGUAGGGAAUCUUCGGCAAUGGGGGCAACCCUGACCGAGCAACGCCGCGUGAGUGAAGAAGGUUUUCGGAUCGUAAAGCUCUGUUGUAAGUCAAGAACGGGUGUGAGAGUGGAAAGUUCACACUGUGACGGUAGCUUACCAGAAAGGGACGGCUAACUACGUG
Molecule: ribosomal RNA, 497 nt
Filed under: uncultured bacterium
Lineage: Bacteria
Description: partial 16S ribosomal RNA
Rfam family: Bacterial small subunit ribosomal RNA
Source: RNAcentral